RNAcentral lists this ribosomal RNA (615 nucleotides) under Triticum aestivum (bread wheat). RNAcentral's name for it is "partial small subunit ribosomal RNA". Lineage: Eukaryota; Viridiplantae; Streptophyta; Magnoliopsida; Poales; Poaceae. The record is from RNAcentral.
AUGCAACUUCGGCUAGGAUGUUCUUGGUUGCUACUGCUACUGCUACUGCUACCGCUGCCGCUGCCGCUGCGACUGCGACUGCGACUACUACUGCGACUCCUACUACUACUGCAACUCCUACUGCUACUCCUACUACUGCGACUCCUACUGCUACUGUUGCUCCUCCUGCUGCUCCUCCUGCUGCUACUGCUACUGCUACUGCUACUACUAUGCAAGACAUUUAAUGAUUUCUUUGUUGUAUGUCUUGGUGCAGGUGCUGGGCAAGUUGGUAGAAAAAAUAAAACCCUCAAUGACCAGCAAAAAUUUGCUGCUUAUGUAGCAUUGCAUACAUUGUGUAUGAGUAGAGGAGGCACUUUUAAGAAAACUGAUACGCAAGACAUUGCAAUUUUUUUUGGAGUGGGUGUUUGGAAUAUACAAAGAAUUUGGAGGAAAGCAAUGUUGCAAAUUCAACAAGGUCAAGAGGUAGAUGUUGCCGAUCAGAGAAAAGGAAAUUCUGGAAGAAAGCCUAAGGACAUUAACCUAAAAAUCCUAACAAUCCCAUUAAACAGGAGGUCUACUAUUAGGUCACUAGCCUGGCAACUGGGAUGUAGCCCUACCACACUUCAUAGAAAGUUC